RNAcentral lists this ribosomal RNA (1384 nucleotides) under uncultured Rhodocyclaceae bacterium. RNAcentral's name for it is "bacterial SSU rRNA". It matches the Rfam family "Bacterial small subunit ribosomal RNA". Lineage: Bacteria; Pseudomonadati; Pseudomonadota; Betaproteobacteria; Rhodocyclales; Rhodocyclaceae. The record is from RNAcentral.
GAGUUUGAUCCUGGCUCAGAUUGAACGCUGGCGGAAUGCUCUACACAUGCAAGUCGAGCGGCAGCGCGGGGCAACCUGGCGGCGAGCGGCGAACGGGUGAGUAAUGCAUCGGAACGUGUCCAUGUCGUGGGGGAUAGCCCGGCGAAAGCCGGAUUAAUACCGCAUACGCCCGAGAGGGGAAAGUGGGGGACCGCAAGGCCUCACGCGAUUGGUUCGGCCGAUGUCCGAUUAGCUAGUUGGCGGGGUAAAGGCCCACCAAGGCGAUGAUCGGUAGCUGGUCUGAGAGGAUGAUCAGCCACACUGGGACUGAGACACGGCCCAGACUCCUACGGGAGGCAGCAGUGGGGAAUUUUGGACAAUGGGGGCAACCCUGAUCCAGCCAUUCCGCGUGAGUGAAGAAGGCCUUCGGGUUGUAAAGCUCUUUUGUCCGGAACGAAACGGUGGACGUGAAUAUCGUCCACUACUGACGGUACCGGAAGAAUAAGCACCGGCUAACUACGUGCCAGCAGCCGCGGUAAUACGUAGGGUGCGAGCGUUAAUCGGAAUUACUGGGCGUAAAGCGUGCGCAGGCGGUUCGCCAAGUCAGGUGUGAAAUCCCCGGGCUUAACCUGGGAAUUGCGCUUGAAACUAGCGGGCUUGAGUGCGGCAGAGGGGGGCGGAAUUCCACGUGUAGCAGUGAAAUGCGUAGAGAUGUGGAGGAACACCGAUGGCGAAGGCAGCCCCCUGGGUCGACACUGACGCUCAUGCACGAAAGCGUGGGGAGCAAACAGGAUUAGAUACCCUGGUAGUCCACGCCCUAAACGAUGUCGACUAGGUGUUGGGGAAGGAGACUUCCUUAGUACCGCAGCUAACGCGUGAAGUCGAUCGCCUGGGGAGUACGGUCGCAAGAUUAAAACUCAAAGGAAUUGACGGGGACCCGCACAAGCGGUGGAUGAUGUGGAUUAAUUCGAUGCAACGCGAAAAACCUUACCUACCCUUGACAUGCCAGGAAGUCCGCUGAGAGGUGGAUGUGCCCGAAAGGGAACCUGGACACAGGUGCUGCAUGGCUGUCGUCAGCUCGUGUCGUGAGAUGUUGGGUUAAGUCCCGCAACGAGCGCAACCCUUGUCGUUAGUUGCUACAUUCAGUUGGGCACUCUAAUGAGACUGCCGGUGACAAACCGGAGGAAGGUGGGGAUGACGUCAAGUCCUCAUGGCCCUUAUGGGUAGGGCCUCACACGUCAUACAAUGGCGCAUACAGAGGGUUGCCAACCCGCGAGGGGGAGCCAAUCCCAGAAAGUGCGUCGUAGUCCGGAUCGGAGUCUGCAACUCGACUCCGUGAAGUCGGAAUCGCUAGUAAUCGCGGAUCAGCAUGUCGCGGUGAUACGUUCCCGGGUCUUGUACACAC